Molecule: transfer RNA, 76 nt
Filed under: Clostridiales bacterium
Lineage: Bacteria; Bacillati; Bacillota; Clostridia; Eubacteriales
Also listed under: 1 other name
Description: tRNA-Thr
Rfam family: tRNA
About the family: Transfer RNA (tRNA) molecules are approximately 80 nucleotides in length.
Source: RNAcentral
GCUACUGUAGCUCAGUUGGUAGAGCACCAGAUUCGUAACCUGAAGGUCGGGAGUUCGAUUCUCCCCAGUAGCUCCA